ACAUAUCCUGUAAAAGAACAAGCUGUUAAUGAAUAUCUAGGCAAGUGUCAAUCCACUCAGAAUUUUAUAGCAUUCAUUCAAACGAACUGCUUGUUAUUUUAAAGAUGCUCAGACUCUCGAUUGUCAUUGCGGCUUUUUGUAUUUAUCUCUCCCUGGCUGACUACUCAGGAUACAGCACUGGCGAAGUAGCCCCUCAACCUUGCCCGCAGAACUAUGAAUGUCCUGACGUCUAUGCGCCAGUGUGUGGUACAAACGGCGUGACCUACAGUAGCGGCUGUGAGCUGAUCAAAAAGACCUGUGGACGUGUACAGGUCAGCUACAAUGGCCAGUGUGGGAAUCCAAGUGGGCCUUCUGAUGCGUGAAGCUAACUGUGUAGCGUUUCCAGAUUGAAAAAAAACAUUGACAUGAGAAUGUUCUGGGAAGUAUGCUGGAUGAUAUCAGAAAGUAUGGCACAUCAUUGAGUUCUCUACGUAGUAAUACAACAUAGUCAUCGAUUUUUUAUUUUUUGGAAUAACAUCUGUAUUUCAUACUGUGAACUAGUUAGGUUACGUCAUGUGUACAUUCUUUUAAGCUGGAGAUUAAAGUUAUUAAAACGGUCUCUUUCAAAUUAUAAAAA
This is a long non-coding RNA of Biomphalaria glabrata, 616 nucleotides long. RefSeq lists it as uncharacterized. The record is from RefSeq and is a predicted model, not a curated record. The transcript has 2 exons. Lineage: Eukaryota; Metazoa; Mollusca; Gastropoda; Planorbidae.